This 155-nucleotide unclassified non-coding RNA is filed under the name fungal sp. RNAcentral's name for it is "partial internal transcribed spacer region". The stretch from base 1 to 46 matches the Rfam family "Eukaryotic small subunit ribosomal RNA", at positions 1786 to 1831 of the family's 1831-position model. The record is from RNAcentral. Lineage: Eukaryota; Fungi.
AAGUCGUAACAAGGUUUCCGUAGGUGAACCUGCGGAAGGAUCAUUAAUGAAAUAUUAUUAUUAUAUUUCCCAUGUUAAAAUGUUUAUUACAACGAUAAAUUAAAUAUUUACAUGUAAACAAACCACAACUUUUAACGGUGGAUCUCUUGGUUCCU